AGAGUUUGAUCAUGGCUCAGGACGAACGCUGGCGGCGUGCUUAACACAUGCAAGUCGAACGGAAAGGCCCUUCGGGGUACUCGAGUGGCGAACGGGUGAGUAACACGUGGGUGAUCUGCCCUGCACUUUGGGAUAAGCCUGGGAAACUGGGUCUAAUACCGAAUAGGACCACGCGCUUCAUGGUGUGUGGUGGAAAGCUUUUGCGGUGUGGGAUGGGCCCGCGGCCUAUCAGCUUGUUGGUGGGGUAAUGGCCUACCAAGGCGACGACGGGUAGCCGGCCUGAGAGGGUGACCGGCCACACUGGGACUGAGAUACGGCCCAGACUCCUACGGGAGGCAGCAGUGGGGAAUAUUGCACAAUGGGCGCAAGCCUGAUGCAGCGACGCCGCGUGAGGGAUGACGGCCUCCGGGUUGUAAACCUCUUUCAAUAGGGACGAAGCGCAAGUGACGGUACCUAUAGAAGAAGCACCGGCCAACUACGUGCCAGCAGCCGCGGUAAUACGUAGGGUGCGAGCGUUGUCCGGAAUUACUGGGCGUAAAGAGCUCGUAGGUGGUUUGUCGCGUUGUUCGUGAAAACUCACAGCUUAACUGUGGGCGUGCGGGCGAUACGGGCAGACUAGAGUACUGCAGGGGAGACUGGAAUUCCUGGUGUAGCGGUGGAAUGCGCAGAUAUCAGGAGGAACACCGGUGGCGAAGGCGGGUCUCUGGGCAGUAACUGACGCUGAGGAGCGAAAGCGUGGGGAGCGAACAGGAUUAGAUACCCUGGUAGUCCAA
This 773-nucleotide ribosomal RNA is filed under the name uncultured bacterium. RNAcentral describes it as "bacterial SSU rRNA". It matches the Rfam family "Bacterial small subunit ribosomal RNA", at positions 8 to 798 of the family's 1533-position model. The record is from RNAcentral.